Molecule: long non-coding RNA, 339 nt
Organism: Nicotiana attenuata
Lineage: Eukaryota; Viridiplantae; Streptophyta; Magnoliopsida; Solanales; Solanaceae
Exons: 2
Source: RefSeq, a predicted model, not a curated record
CAUAAGACAUAGUGGAAACUCCAAGAGAAAACGAACACCAGAAUAAAUUUUAAGCUAAUGUCUUCACAUGUGCAAGUAGAUAACCUUUUGUUGAAAAUGCAGUACGGAUGAAAUGGACUAUGUUGCUCAUUUCGAUUUUAUUGUAUAGAUCAUGCCAAAAAGAAAGAAGGGAUAGCCUUAACAUACCUGGAGUAAGGAAGAAUCCGUAUGAUAUUCUUGGAAAAGGUUGCGUUUUUUUGGUAGCUUCAGAGAGUCUCUUGGAGAGCUCAUUUCUUUAUCCUCAAACGUUAGAUAAAAUGAAUCUUUUAACUUGCUAAAGCUUAUAAAUCCUUUCUUGAA